This 85-nucleotide transfer RNA is filed under the name Planctomycetales bacterium 4484_123. RNAcentral describes it as "tRNA-Ser". It matches the Rfam family "tRNA". From Rfam's summary of the family: Transfer RNA (tRNA) molecules are approximately 80 nucleotides in length. Their secondary structure includes four short double-helical elements and three loops (D, anti-codon, and T loops). The record is from RNAcentral. Lineage: Bacteria; Pseudomonadati; Planctomycetota; Planctomycetia; Planctomycetales. RNAcentral also lists the same sequence under 1 other name.
GGAGAGGUGCCGGAGCGGCUGAACGGGCCGGUUUCGAAAACCGGUGUGCCUUCGGGCACCGCGGGUUCGAAUCCCGCCCUCUCCG